This 483-nucleotide ribosomal RNA is filed under the name uncultured bacterium. Its description in RNAcentral is "partial 16S ribosomal RNA". It matches the Rfam family "Bacterial small subunit ribosomal RNA", at positions 30 to 507 of the family's 1533-position model. The record is from RNAcentral.
AGUGAACGCUGGCGGCAGGCCUAACACAUGCAAGUCGAGCGGCAGCGGGUCCUUCGGGAUGCCGGCGAGCGGCGGACGGGUGAGGAAUACAUCGGAAUCUGCCCUGUCGUGGGGGAUAACCUAGGGAAACUUAGGCUAAUACCGCAUACGACCUACGGGUGAAAGCGGGGGAUCGCAAGACCUCGCGCGACAGGAUGAGCCGAUGUCCGAUUAGCUAGUUGGCGGGGUAAAGGCCCACCAAGGCGACGAUCGGUAGCUGGUCUGAGAGGAUGAUCAGCCAACUGGGGGUUGGAGACCGGCCCAGCUCCUACGGGGGGGCGCAGUGGGGAAUAUUGGGCAAUGGGGGCAAGCCUGGUCCAGGCAUGCCGCGUGGGUGAAGAAGGCCUUCGGGUUGUAAAGCCCUUUUGUCCGGGAAGAAAUCGUCUGGGCUAAUACCCCGGGCGGAUGACGGUACCGGAAGAAUAAGCACCGGCUAACUUCGUG